This 253-nucleotide ribosomal RNA is filed under the name uncultured bacterium. RNAcentral describes it as "partial 16S ribosomal RNA". It matches the Rfam family "Bacterial small subunit ribosomal RNA", at positions 524 to 776 of the family's 1533-position model. The record is from RNAcentral.
UACAGAGGUCCCAAGCGUUGUUCGGAUUCACUGGGCGUAAAGGGUGCGUAGGCGGGUCUUUAAGUCAGGGGUGAAAUCCUGGAGCUCAACUCCAGAACUGCCUUUGAUACUGAAGAUCUUGAGUUCGGGAGAGGUGAGUGGAACUGCGAGUGUAGAGGUGAAAUUCGUAGAUAUUCGCAAGAACACCAGUGGCGAAGGCGGCUCACUGGCCCGAUACUGACGCUGAGGGACGAAAGCGUGGGGAGCAAACAGG